RNAcentral lists this long non-coding RNA (2408 nucleotides) under Apis florea (little honeybee). RNAcentral describes it as "uncharacterized LOC116414201". Lineage: Eukaryota; Metazoa; Arthropoda; Insecta; Hymenoptera; Apidae. The record is from RNAcentral.
CGCUUAAAUCCCACCUCUGGUUUAAUUUAUGAAGAUCCUUAAACAGUGUGAGUGAGAUCACCUAUUCAAUAUGUACAAAUUGUAGUAGAAGGUUUAAAAGCUAUGAAACGAGUAAUCGCAUCGAGAUCUUCCUGUUUCAGAAUCUCGAUCUUCCGUUAACCUUGGCCUGUAGAGACACAUGAAUAUGAAAUAGGGACGAUAAGGAAUUCGAUGAAUUCGCACGAGAUUGAGAUUGAAAGCUUCUGAGAGAGAAAGUAAUUCGUUCAAAACAUUUGUUAUCCAUCCGCUUCAGAAAAAUAAUCGAAAUUGGAUUGAUACGAAAUUUAUUGCUUCAACGACGAAUUUUCGUUAUUCCGUUAUGAUUCAUGACUCACGUGUGUUUUCCACGAAUUAUUUUACAAUUUUGCAUUGAGAGUGGCAAAAAUUCUCACCCGGUUAACAAACAAUGCAACUCGAUUUUUCCUCCUGUUCAUUCCAUCUCGUUUCUUCCCCGGGUAAUUUUAUCGAAACGGCAACUAUUAUUCUUGGAACAUGAUCUUGAAGAAUAAAUUUUAGCAGUUUAAUUGUUCGCUGAUACUGAUACGUAUACACGAUAGCAUUGGUGGUAGAGAGAGAGAGAGAGAGAGAGAGAGAUCGGUAUGCAAUUAAAUAGCCGGCUCCAGGUAGAUUAGACGUUUUAACCGACGGACGGUAAUUUUUUAAAUUACAUGUAAUAUAGUCGUAUUGGAUGAUGUUCACCAACGGUCACGAUUCAGUUAAAACAAUUGCGUUAUCCACCGCACACUUUGUAACCGUGAAGGAGGAAGAUUAUUUUUAAUGGGCGAACUCUCCCGCCUCUCCCUUCGCCCCUCUUCGCCCAACGGCUUCUUCCAUUUCGACGGCCUUGAAAUAACGUGCGUCGUGAAAGGACACUGUUUCGCGGGCAAACUUUGUUUACUUUCGUUCUCGUUCUCGUUUCGUUUCGUUUCGUUUCUUCGAUUAUUGGAAAUCAAGAGGGAGAGAUUUUGCGCGACACAAUUGAAUUCUUCUUUUUUUUCGACGGCACCCAUCAAAAUACACGGUGAAGUAAUAUUACAUGUGUAAUCGAGUUAUUCUCGACGAGUGAAAAUAACAGUGUAUUAUCGUCUUGAUUUUACGUCAUUACUCUUCCGCGUAACGAAAAUUGUUUCGAAUAAAAGUUGAAUGGUUUCAAAGUGGAGAGUAAUGCGGUGUAAUUAUUUUUCUGCACGGGGAACACGUGGAGGUUAUAUCAAAGUCAAAACUUUGUUCUUUUCUUUUUGAUGAAUGGUCAUAUAUCCUUUUUAACAUUAGGAUAUUGAGAUGCAGCGGAUGAGAAAGUAUUUGAUUCCGUUUAAAAAAAAUAAAGUUGAACUUCAUGAUUGGAACCGUCCAUCUUUUAUCUGAAACAUUGUUUAAUAUUAUGAAAAACAAGCGAGACACCCGAUAUAUUUCUUAAUUUUUUUAAUAAAUAGAAAACAGAUUGCGGAAAUGAAGAAAGUUAAUUUUUCUGAAUGAUGAUCCUUCAACAGUUAUAAACCAAUUCAAAGCAUUUAUAAAACUUGGCAAAUAAUCAAAAAAAAAAUUGAUGAAUAGAACGGAAAUAGCAGAUGAAUGUUCCAUGAUGAAUGAAAAAAAAUACAUGCAGAAGUGAAUUAUAAGAAUUAUAAGAAGACAGAUAUAUGACAUAAAAAUUGACAUAUAGAAUAAAUUAGGAAAAGAAGACAAUAAAAUUAAAAUCGGAUUCAAAGCCACUUUUGAGCAUAAAUUAUGUAUAUAAAUAUAGACAAGAAGAGAAAAUAAUAAGAGAAGGACAAAGAUAGGAUAAAAAUGCGGGAAUCAACGCCAUCUUCAGAGCGCAAAUAAAACUCGUUAUACAAGGACAAUAGAUAAUAGAAGAAGAAUAGUCAAUUAGUAGUACUUAAUUAGUGGCGCCAUCUCUUCGAGAAAUAUUCAAACUUGUUGUAUUAUUGACUGUAAUUUAAAUUUAAAUAGUCUUUGAACAGUUACGUCAUCUCUGUGGAAAAUAUUGGAACUUUUUUAUGAUUGAUAACUAAUCGUAAUUCAAUAUUUUUCGAAGAGAUGGCGCCAUUAAUCAAAGACUUAAAAAGUUCACUUGUUGGUAAUAAUGCAUGACAAAUUUUAACAUCUUUCGAAAAGAUGACUAGUUGAGUACAGAAAAGUACAAAAAAUAAUUAUAAUUUGCAUUUUUAUUUACGGUAUGUAUAUAUUUUAUAUGUAUUUUAUAUAUAGAAUAUUUUAUUUGAUUAAAACGUAAAUUAAAUGGAAAUAUUACAAUAUGGCUAAAGAUUUUUAUAACUAUAUAAAAACUAAGUAUAUCAAAUUUAAUAAAAUUUAAAUAUAUCAUUUUUUUUCUAAUUAUAUUUCUAUUAAAAUCAUAAUUUUAAAUA